AUGCCCUCCACUGCGGGCCCGCUAACUGCCUUCUCCCUCCCGCCAGGGCGACUCGGGUGCACCGGGCGAGCGUGGUCCUCCCGGGGCUGCAGGCCCCAUGGGCCCCCGAGGUGGAGCUGGACCCCCAGGCCCCGAAGGAGGGAAGGGUGCUGCUGGCCCCCCCGGGCCACCCGGCUCGGCAGGUACCCCCGGUCUGCAGGGGAUGCCCGGAGAGAGAGGAGGGCCCGGCGGCCCCGGCCCCAAGGGCGACAAGGUAGGAUGGCCACACAGGUGCCAAGGCCAACCUGCUCCCAAAGCCACCCUACGGUCCUGCGGCUACUACCCCACCCCGGGCAGCCUCCCGGGGUUGCUCCUGGGCCCGUUCCAGCCAUGACGCUGACUUCUGUUCGACAGGGCGAACCAGGCAGUGCAGGUGCAGAUGGAGCCCCGGGGAAGGAUGGUCCCAGGGUGAGUGUCUCUAUGACCUGGAAGUUUCUCUCCUCCACUUGUAUUUGCUGUAAAACCUCAUCAUGAUGGCCUAGACCGUAUUUGGCCACUUUCUGACCACUAGGAAGGCCCACAUGACAUGAAUGUUAAAAUUCCUGGCUUAUAUCUGUCAUUACCUGAUGGUCCGACCAUGACGUGAGAAUAGAAAAAUCUCAAAAGUCUGAUAAAAGUUAAAAGCUAAAGUCAUAAUGAGUCACUAACAUCCAACAUAAUCAAUAGUGUUCAUGAAGGAAUCUUUUGAUUUGAUGAACAUCGUAAUUCUGUGGUAUAGUCAGACUGUGGGCAUCUACCUACCGAUAGAAAAUACACACAACUUAUGCUAACCUCAAAGACACCAGCUUCCAGAGCUUAUACGCACAUUCCCGCGCAAAUGAGAAUGUGUACAACGGCUGGGCCGGGGUCAGCUCUGGGGAUGGUACCAAUGCCAGUCGCGUGGUUCCGACAUGGUACAACAGUUGUGUAGAUACUGACAUUCAGGGAUGCUGAGAGAAAGGUGCAUAGGAUUUUCUUGUAUCUUCUUUUGCAACCUCCUGGAAGGCAUAACUAUUUCAAAAUAAAGGUUAAAAACAAACAAAAUAGAAAAACA
This 1072-nucleotide long non-coding RNA is filed under the name Vulpes vulpes (red fox). Its description in RNAcentral is "lncRNA (ENSVVUG00000027145.1)". Lineage: Eukaryota; Metazoa; Chordata; Mammalia; Carnivora; Canidae. The record is from RNAcentral.